GCUGCUGCCAGGAAAUAAGCAAAUAGGAGCUCUCUCUUGCUUAUACCAAAAUCUCCCAAGUUGCAUCCUUCAUACCACUUUUGAAAAUUGUCCCAUUCAACGCGAUGCAAUGCUUGGCAACUGUUGUAGUCAAGUCUUGCGAGCUGGAGGUACUCAUUGUUGUUCACAUAUGGCAUCCUGUAAAGAGUCUUGCCAAUCCAUACAUCAUCUUCGCCGCCAUACUGUUCUAAAUAGAAUCUCGCCUCCACUCGAGGCAAGUUCGCGUACCAA
RNAcentral lists this unclassified non-coding RNA (270 nucleotides) under Hevea brasiliensis (rubber tree). Lineage: Eukaryota; Viridiplantae; Streptophyta; Magnoliopsida; Malpighiales; Euphorbiaceae. The record is from RNAcentral.